This 205-nucleotide ribosomal RNA is filed under the name Anabaenopsis circularis A2. RNAcentral's name for it is "partial 16S ribosomal RNA". The record is from RNAcentral. Lineage: Bacteria; Bacillati; Cyanobacteriota; Cyanophyceae; Nostocales; Nodulariaceae.
GAUAUGGGGUUAGGCUGGAACGUGGAUGGGGCGGCGGGGGAAAGACCUUACCGUGCGUUUGAAACGCUAAGCAAAUCUAACAGAUUAGAAGUUCCCUUCGGGGACAAGGAAAACAGGGGUGCAAGGUUGUCGUCAGCUCUGGUCGCUGAAUAGUUGGGUUAAGUCCCGCAACAACCCCAACCCUUUUUCUCAAUUGCCAGCAUUA